CUGUAAGCCUGUGAAGGUGUACUGUGAGGUAUGCUGGAGGUAUCAGAAGUGCGAAUGCUGACAUAAGUAACGAUAAAGCGGGUGAAAAGCCCGCUCGCCGGAAGACCAAGGGUUCCUGUCCAACGUUAAUCGGGGCAGGGUGAGUCGACCCCUAAGGCGAGGCCGAAAGGCGUAGUCGAUGGGAAACAGGUUAAUAUUCCUGUACUUGGUGUUACUGCGAAGGGGGGACGGAGAAGGCUAUGUUGGCCGGGCGACGGUUGUCCCGGUUUAAGCGUGUAGGCUGGUUUUCCAGGCAAAUCCGGAAAAUCAAGGCUGAGGCGUGAUGACGAGGCACUACGGUGCUGAAGCAACAAAUGCCCUGCUUCCAGGAAAAGCCUCUAAGCAUCAGGUAACAUCAAAUCGUACCCCAAACCGACACAGGUGGUCAGGUAGAGAAUACCAAGGCGCUUGAGAGAACUCGGGUGAAGGAACUAGGCAAAAUGGUGCCGUAACUUCGGGAGAAGGCACGCUGAUAUGUAGGUGAAGUCCCUCGCGGAUGGAGCUGAAAUCAGUCGAAGAUACCAGCUGGCUGCAACUGUUUAUUAAAAACACAGCACUGUGCAAACACGAAAGUGGACGUAUACGGUGUGACGCCUGCCCGGUGCCGGAAGGUUAAUUGAUGGGGUUAGCGCAAGCGAAGCUCUUGAUCGAAGCCCCGGUAAACGGCGGCCGUAACUAUAACGGUCCUAAGGUAGCGAAAUUCCUUGUCGGGUAAGUUCCGACCUGCACGAAUGGCGUAAUGAUGGCCAGGCUGUCUCCACCCGAGACUCAGUGAAAUUGAACUCGCUGUGAAGAUGCAGUGUACCCGCGGCAAGACGGAAAGACCCCGUGAACCUUUACUAUAGCUUGACACUGAACAUUGAGCCUUGAUGUGUAGGAUAGGUGGGAGGCUUUGAAGUGUGGACGCCAGUCUGCAUGGAGCCGACCUUGAAAUACCACCCUUUAAUGUUUGAUGUUCUAACGUUGACCCGUAAUCCGGGUUGCGGACAGUGUCUGGUGGGUAGUUUGACUGGGGCGGUCUCCUCCUAAAGAGUAACGGAGGAGCACGAAGGUUGGCUAAUCCUGGUCGGACAUCAGGAGGUUAGUGCAAUGGCAUAAGCCAGCUUGACUGCGAGCGUGACGGCGCGAGCAGGUGCGAAAGCAGGUCAUAGUGAUCCGGUGGUUCUGAAUGGAAGGGCCAUCGCUCAACGGAUAAAAGGUACUCCGGGGAUAACAGGCUGAUACCGCCCAAGAGUUCAUAUCGACGGCGGUGUUUGGCACCUCGAUGUCGGCUCAUCACAUCCUGGGGCUGAAGUAGGUCCCAAGGGUAUGGCUGUUCGCCAUUUAAAGUGGUACGCGAGCUGGGUUUAGAACGUCGUGAGACAGUUCGGUCCCUAUCUGCCGUGGGCGCUGGAGAACUGAGGGGGGCUGCUCCUAGUACGAGAGGACCGGAGUGGACGCAUCACUGGUGUUCGGGUUGUCAUGCCAAUGGCACUGCCCGGUAGCUAAAUGCGGAAGAGAUAAGUGCUGAAAGCAUCUAAGCACGAAACUUGCCCCGAGAUGAGUUCUCCCUGACUCCUUGAGAGUCCUGAAGGAACGUUGAAGACGACGACGUUGAU
RNAcentral lists this ribosomal RNA (1637 nucleotides) under Escherichia coli. RNAcentral's name for it is "partial 23S ribosomal RNA". It matches the Rfam family "Bacterial large subunit ribosomal RNA", at positions 1241 to 2857 of the family's 2925-position model. Lineage: Bacteria; Pseudomonadati; Pseudomonadota; Gammaproteobacteria; Enterobacterales; Enterobacteriaceae. The record is from RNAcentral.